Molecule: non-coding RNA, 75 nt
Organism: Cladobotryum mycophilum
Lineage: Eukaryota; Fungi; Ascomycota; Sordariomycetes; Hypocreales; Hypocreaceae
Source: the annotation of a GenBank genome assembly
AUCUCCCCAGGAAGGCUCGAACUUCCAACCUCCUGAUUAACAGUCAGACGCGCUAGCCAAUUGCGCCAUGGAGGA